GUAAACAAAACUCACACCUUUAUUAGGCUGUAUGGCUUUUAAAGAGUAUGACUGAAGACUAAAAAGAUGGACACACUGUUUUACAUAACAUCUCCAGAACAUGCAGUGGCUAUAAUUUCCACAUACUGACCUUUAAAUGGGAAAAGACGUAAAAAGUUGUGGCCAAGAAUACACUUGGAAGUUUCAGUAUCUUAUUCUGUACAUUGAAUAAGUGAAAGUGAAUGGCAUUUGUCACAAUGCAGACUAAUUUUCUGUCUGGGUUGUCCCCAGUUAAUGUGGUUUUUUUUUUUUCCUUUUUUUUCCCCAGAAUUAUGAAUGAGAAUGGGAAGCGUGUAUGUCAAGGGAAUCAUAUUCCCUUAGCAGAAAGGGAACAGAUACCUAAACUAUCAUGCACAGUCAAGGCUGGGGAAAUUUCUCCGUGUCAGCCUGGUGAGGGACAGCCAUGCAGCCUGAGGAGACCAGCUUCCAGGAGGAAAAAUGUAGGACUGAGUCUUCCACUGGUUUGUUUAGUGGUGCAGAAGACAAAGCCUGGUUGGUGCCGCUGCUGUCGAAUAGGUCAUCAGUGACAACAACCUGUGCUGCAGAAGUUAGCCCCCACUGACACUGUUUUCACUCCACUUGAAUGGAAGCUCCUGGGAGUCUUUCUUUAAAGAGCCCAGGGGUGGGGAAGGCUGGAAAAUGGAGAGAAAGGGAAUAAAAUAAUUAUAGAAAUAACA
Molecule: long non-coding RNA, 716 nt
Filed under: Anser brachyrhynchus (Pink-footed goose)
Lineage: Eukaryota; Metazoa; Chordata; Aves; Anseriformes; Anatidae
Description: lncRNA (ENSABRG00000013729.1)
Source: RNAcentral